Molecule: ribosomal RNA, 253 nt
Filed under: uncultured bacterium
Lineage: Bacteria
Description: partial 16S ribosomal RNA
Rfam family: Bacterial small subunit ribosomal RNA
Source: RNAcentral
UACGUAGGGUGCAAGCGUUAAUCGGAAUUACUGGGCGUAAGGCGUGCGCAGGCGGUGAUGUAAGACAGUUGUGAAAUCCCCGGGCUCAACCUGGGAACUGCAUCUGUGACUGCAUCGCUGGAGUACGGUAGAGGGGGAUGGAAUUCCGCGUGUAGCAGUGAAAUGCGUAGAUAUGCGGAGGAACACCGAUGGCGAAGGCAAUCCCCUGGACCUGUACUGACGCUCAUGCACGAAAGCGUGGGGAGCAAACAGG